Molecule: ribosomal RNA, 497 nt
Filed under: uncultured bacterium
Lineage: Bacteria
Description: partial 16S ribosomal RNA
Rfam family: Bacterial small subunit ribosomal RNA
Source: RNAcentral
GAUGAACGCUGGCGGCGUGCCUAAUACAUGCAAGUCGAGCGAACGGACGAGAAGCUUGCUUCUCUGAUGUUAGCGGCGGGCGGGUGAGUAACACGUGGAUAACCUACCUAUAAGACUGGGAUAACUUCGGGAAACCGGAGCUAAUACCGGAUAAUAUUUUGAACCGCAUGGUUCAAAAGUGAAAGACGGUCUUGCUGUCACUUAUAGAUGGAUCCGCGCUGCAUUAGCUAGUUGGUAAGGUAACGGCUUACCAAGGCAACGAUGCAUAGCCGACCUGAGAGGGUGAUCGGCCACACUGGAACUGAGACACGGUCCAGACUCCUACGGGGGGCAGCAGUAGGGAAUCUUCCGCAAUGGGCGAAAGCCUGACGGAGCAACGCCGCGUGAGUGAGGAAGGUCUUCGGAUCGUAAAACUCUGUUAUUAGGGAAGAACAUAUGUGUAAGUAACUGUGCACAUCUUGACGGUACCUAAUCAGAAAGCCACGGCUAACUACGUG